UCCUUUAGUUUAAUUGGUUAAAACAUAACUUUUAUAAAAGUUAGAUGUAAGUUCAAAUCUUACAAGGAUU
RNAcentral lists this transfer RNA (70 nucleotides) under Bacteriophage sp. RNAcentral's name for it is "tRNA-OTHER". It matches the Rfam family "tRNA". From Rfam's summary of the family: Transfer RNA (tRNA) molecules are approximately 80 nucleotides in length. Their secondary structure includes four short double-helical elements and three loops (D, anti-codon, and T loops). The record is from RNAcentral.